This 253-nucleotide ribosomal RNA is filed under the name uncultured bacterium. RNAcentral's name for it is "partial 16S ribosomal RNA". It matches the Rfam family "Bacterial small subunit ribosomal RNA", at positions 524 to 776 of the family's 1533-position model. The record is from RNAcentral.
UACGGAGGGGGCUAGCGUUGUUCGGAAUCACUGGGCGUAAAGCGUGCGUAGGCGGCUACUCAAGUCAGAGGUGAAAGCCCGGGGCUCAACCUCGGAAUUGCCUUUGAAACUGGGUAGCUUGAACACGGGAGAGGUAAGUGGAAUUCCGAGUGUAGAGGUGAAAUUCGUAGAUAUUCGGAAGAACACCAGUGGCGAAGGCGGCUUACUGGACCGUUGUUGACGCUGAGGCACGAAAGCGUGGGGAGCGAACAGG